Molecule: transfer RNA, 67 nt
Filed under: Marmota monax (woodchuck)
Lineage: Eukaryota; Metazoa; Chordata; Mammalia; Rodentia; Sciuridae
Description: tRNA.Val
Source: RNAcentral
GGUUGUGGCUCAGUGGCAGAGCGCUUGCCUCACACAUGUGAGACACUGGGUUUGAUCCUCAGCACCA